RNAcentral lists this ribosomal RNA (492 nucleotides) under uncultured bacterium. Its description in RNAcentral is "partial 16S ribosomal RNA". It matches the Rfam family "Bacterial small subunit ribosomal RNA", at positions 29 to 507 of the family's 1533-position model. The record is from RNAcentral.
AGUGAACGCUGGCGGUAGGCCUAACACAUGCAAGUCGAACGGCAGCACAGUAAGAGCUUGCUCUUACGGGUGGCGAGUGGCGGACGGGUGAGGAAUACAUCGGAAUCUACUUUUUCGUGGGGGAUAACGUAGGGAAACUUACGCUAAUACCGCAUCCGACCUACGGGUGAAAGCAGGGGAUCUUCGGACCUUGCGCGAUUGAUUGAGCCGAUGUCGGAUUAGCUAGUUGGCGGGGUAAAGGCCCACCAAGGCGACGAUCCGUAGCUGGUCUGAGAGGAUGAUCAGCCACACUGGAACUGAGACACGGUCCAGACUCCUACGGGAGGCAGCAGUGGGGAAUAUUGGACAAUGGGCGCAAGCCUGAUCCAGCCAUACCGCGUGGGUGAAGAAGGCCUUCGGGUUGUAAAGCCCUUUUGUUGGGAAAGAAAAGCAGCAGGUUAAUACCCCGCUGUUCUGACGGUACCCAAAGAAUAAGCACCGGCUAACUUCGUG